RNAcentral lists this ribosomal RNA (253 nucleotides) under uncultured bacterium. RNAcentral's name for it is "partial 16S ribosomal RNA". It matches the Rfam family "Bacterial small subunit ribosomal RNA", at positions 524 to 776 of the family's 1533-position model. The record is from RNAcentral.
UACGGGAGUGGCAAGCGUUAUCCGGAAUUAUUGGGCGUAAAGCGUCCGCAGGCGGCCCAGAAAGUCUGCUGUUAAAACGUGGAGCUUAACUCCAUCAUGGCAGUGGAAACUGUUGGGCUUGAGUGUGGUAGGGGCAGAGGGAAUUCCCGGUGUAGCGGUGAAAUGCGUAGAUAUCGGGAAGAACACCAGUGGCGAAGGCGCUCUGCUGGGCCAUAACUGACGCUCAUGGACGAAAGCCAGGGUAGCAAAUGGG